UCCGCCUCUAAGCCUUCCGGCAUGGGAAAACACUUCAUCUCGCCGAUCGCAGGCCAGAGGAAGGAGUCUCCCGUCUCUCUCCAUGGGAGGCCGAAGAGCUUCAUGCCCUUCGCAUCCGAGAAGCCGUUCUCUCUAACCCUGCGUGCUCUGAGGAGGAGACUGUUUCUCGAUUAUAUUUGUUGGCAUAAAUCACAAAAGAAGAAGAAGAAGAAGAAGAAGAAGAAGAAGAAGAAGAAGAAUAUGUUUCUUGACAGCAUUUUUGGCAGUAAUUCAGCUAACCUACGUGCUUUCUUGAUAUGAUCCAAGAUAGAUCUGCCUCAUAUUAUUUAGAUUUCUUUCAGUCUUAAUAAUAUCUUGAUGGUGAUAUAGCUUGCAUUGGUGCUUUCUUUAUAGGAUCCUUAUUUUGCUCUUUUUUCUCUAUAAUUUCUUGUUUCUUGCGAUAGUGCUUUCUUGAUAUGAUCUGAGAUAAGACUGUUUCACAUUAUCUUGAAUUUCUUCUCUUCUUGAUCUCCAGAUUUAUUACUGGACUCAGUUUUAUGAAUCAAAGAUUCACCCUAUUUUAUUUUUCGUAAAUUGAGCACAUCAACGGAGUGCAUAUCCAUUUUCUACAUGGUGACAUAUAACAUGACAAGGGAUCAUAUAUAAAUCAAAUAGGUGAAAACUUUAAUUGAUGAAAUGUGUGAAGCUGUCGAUUAAGGAAAUUAUACUGCAGACGUUAUGCUAUUGAUGUUUAUCUCAAGUUAGAGGAUGUUCUCUGUCCUGUCAUUUUGUGACCUUGAAGUUAUUUUAACUUUCCCAUCUUUUUGGAUAAUAGAAAUACCCCUUGGAAAGCAGCAGACAGAAAAAGAUACUGAAUUUUGAUUGUAUUCGAGGAGGAAUUGAAAUAUAUGCUAAAUUAGGCUGUUAAUUCAUCUUGUGACUUGAUGAAGGCCAUAAAAUUCCCACCCAUAAUGACUAGUGAUACAUCAUAAGUGCACAUAUCAUAUUAUGUGGAUCACUUUGUGUGGACUCCAUACAAUUUGUGCAAUAUGAGAGCCAUUUAUUUAAAUAUAACAUGCGCGUGCGAAAGAGAGAGAGUGAGAGAGCUUCAUCACUUCAAAUCUGAUAAUGAAGCUAUUCUUUUCGAGAAUAUCAACUAUUCUUUUCAAAGUAGAUUUGGGAGCAUAUUUUUAAUCUCAACUCUGAAAAAACAGAAUUGUCAGGAUGAGGAGUAGGGCCAUUUCUACUAAGCUAGUAGCACAUUGCCAAAAUCAAGGCACAGGUUUUGGUAAAGAGAGUGUAUUGGAACCCCCCAAACAAAGUAAGAAAUACUAUAUAAAACAAAAAAUGACAAGAAUAACCCAUUACAAAGGCAAGAAGAAAAGCUGUAGCCUUGGAGCCCACAUAGUAGCCUUUUCUGCAACUUGAUAUCCUGCAUAAUAUUUAGUGAUGGUUUUAAAUUGUUACUUAAUAAUCACUCCUUGCAUUUUGGAAUUAUGUGUUUCUUUCAAACAGCAACAGCCACCAAACUUGUUGACGCAAAUUUCAUGAAGGCCAUAAACUCUUAGUUCAGUCUUAAUUAAAGAUUUGCCACGUUCUAUUUAGCAACCUUUUUGAAUUAUUACUUAAACUAAUGAUUCCUUGUAUUUGGAAGUGCUUGUUUCUCUCGAACAACAGCCACCUAAUUCCUUGAAGCAAAAUUCAUUAAGGCCAUAAACUCUUUGAAGCUUCCCACAGGAGGUGGCUUCCAGAUGUCUCUUAUACUUCACUGGGGUUUUCUGCAUAAAUUUUCUACCUGUUACUCUUUAUGCUUCAUGGGACGAGGGACUAAAAGAAGGGAGAAAAGUUCAUCUUGUUCAAAAAGUCAUGGGACUAACUUGGGACUGGGAUUAGGGUUCAGGUGAUACAGUUAAGUAACAAAUGGACUUGAUCACAAGAACAUCCGGUCCUCUCACGUGAUUGGAGGUGUUUAGUAAGGGAAGAGAUAUGUUUCUGCUGAGGUUUAUCAGUAUGGGCGCAGUCCUCCCUCUUGGAAGCACAUAUGGCUGACAAGGUGGACUGAAGAGAGGGCAUGCAUGCAGGAAAUGGGAGAGUGCCCGAAGGGGAGUUGGUUCUUAUUUUUAUCAAGUGACUGGACUCACUUUGGAUUGUUGAGAUCAGGAUGGUACAGCAUAAAUGAUUGUGACAAUAGAUUUAUCAAACAAUAAGAACUGGGAUUCCAGGCGCUCCUCCAGAAGAACCAUGUUCACCUAUAGACAUUUUGUGAUUCAAAUGAUCUAGAGCCUGAUCCAACUAGUGAACCAACAGACUCACCAACUAUAGAUAUAAAUACUCUGAUGACCAGCUAACAGAAGCACGAUCAAGUUUCUGCUAUUUUAGGUACUCUGGACUUGGCUGAAAGAUCCGUCGGAAAUCCUGUUUGUAUAUCCUCACCAGAAAUGCAAGCUGGCAGUGACAAGCAGAUAGUUUUUGCGGCUGAUAAAUUAAAUUUGUAUGAUGAUGGCUUCUCUAGCCCACAUUUUCUAGACACACAUCAGCAGCGAAAAAUUUCUUUUAUGCAGUGUAUAUGAUCGGAUGCUAAAAAUGUUGUUGUGGACAUAAAAGUAUUUCACC
Molecule: non-coding RNA, 2592 nt
Organism: Phoenix dactylifera (date palm)
Lineage: Eukaryota; Viridiplantae; Streptophyta; Magnoliopsida; Arecales; Arecaceae
Source: RefSeq, a predicted model, not a curated record